GGAGGUAUUAGCUCAGUGGUGGACCAAUCGGCUGAAGUCCGAUAAGUCAACGAUUCAAUCCUCGCUGCCUCCA
Non-coding RNA from Marchantia paleacea, 73 nucleotides. Lineage: Eukaryota; Viridiplantae; Streptophyta; Marchantiopsida; Marchantiales; Marchantiaceae. The record is from the annotation of a GenBank genome assembly.